RNAcentral lists this ribosomal RNA (494 nucleotides) under uncultured bacterium. RNAcentral describes it as "partial 16S ribosomal RNA". It matches the Rfam family "Bacterial small subunit ribosomal RNA", at positions 28 to 506 of the family's 1533-position model. The record is from RNAcentral.
GACGAACGCUGGCGGCGUGCCUAAUACAUGCAAGUAGAACGCUGAAGGAGGAGCUUGCUUCUCUGGAUGAGUCGCGAACGGGUGAGUAACGCGUAGGUAACCUGCCUGGUAGCGGGGGAUAACUAUUGGAAACGAUAGCUAAUACCGCGUAAUAGUAGAUGUUGCAUGACAUUUGCUUAAAAGGUGCAAUUGCAUCACUACCAGAUGGACCUGCGUUGUAUUAGCUAGUUGGUGGGGUAACGGCUCACCAAGGCGACGAUACAUAGCCGACCUGAGAGGGUGAUCGGCCACACUGGGACUGAGACACGGCCCAGACUCCUACGGGAGGCAGCAGUAGGGAAUCUUCGGCAAUGGACGGAAGUCUGACCGAGCAACGCCGCGUGAGUGAAGAAGGUGUUCGGAUCGUAAAGCUCUGUUGUAAGAGAAGAACGAGUGUGAGAGUGGAAAGUUCACACUGUGACGGUAUCUUACCAGAAAGGGACGGCUAACUACGU